Molecule: ribosomal RNA, 1099 nt
Filed under: Triticum aestivum (bread wheat)
Lineage: Eukaryota; Viridiplantae; Streptophyta; Magnoliopsida; Poales; Poaceae
Description: partial small subunit ribosomal RNA
Source: RNAcentral
GACGACCGGUGCCAAGUCCAGCUGCAAUAGGCCGGAGCUUCCUUCCCUUCUGGCCAGGGCGCGCCUAUAAAAGUAGCCCCAGCUUCCUUGCAACUGCAGGCACACUCACUCACUCACCAGUCUUCACGCAUCUUCACUUGCUAAACUAGCCACUGUACCGUUCGCACCGGUCGAGCGGCCGCCGGCGAGAUGGGCAAUCCUUUCAUCGAGUUUGCCCAUAUCUUCCACGUUGUGCACGUUGCACAUGUCCUCUGCAAAGCAGGCCAAGAUGCUGCCCGUGCGCCCAAGAAGAACAAGAACAAGCCCAAUCCUCGCUGAAGGCAUGUGAUGGGUCGAGCUCUUAGACAAUAAACAGAGCGCUACCGGGAGGCAGCCCGUCUUUUUCCGCUGUGUCAUUUGCUGAAUUUUGCAUCUACUGAUGCUUUUCCUAGCUACCGGGAGGGCAGCCCGUUGUUGUUUGAAAAAAAUAAAGGAAAAGGAGAUUUGUGUGCUUCGUCAGAGUCAAGAGUGCUGCAUGCGUGCAUGUGCUGUGCAUUUGUGUAUUCAGCUGAUCCGUGGUUGCUUUGUUCUGUGCUCUCUUUGAUUUACUCAAAUGCCAUGGACCUGACUGACUGCACCCCAACUCCUUGUGCUGAAACCCUUCAGAGGCAAUUGGCUACUAGGUUUGGAGGUGCUAGUUUUGGUAGGAUGCUGGGACUGUUGACCCUGUGUUUUGAUUUUCGGCCGAAAAAAAUGGAUUUCGGCCGAAUUUCGGCCAUCUCGGCCUGGGGCGAAAAGUAUAUUUAGACCGAAAUUGCUCAAAUUUGACAAAAUUUGGUCAAACUUAAGUUAAAUUGCAGUCAAAUUUUGAUCAAAUUUCAGCCGAAAUUUUUGAAAAUGACCGAAAUUCGGCCAUCUCGGUAUAGGGCGAAAAAAAGCUGAAACCGAAAAUCAAAACACAGUUGACCACGCUAUAAACAUGCUGAACAUCAGAGGCUUAGUGUUUGUUUUCCUAGCUAUAACAGCACACGUGGUAAGAACAAGAGGGAAUGAAACGUAUGGCUAUCUUGACUGAAACUUUUUCUGCUAAACGCAUGCAUAGAUCAUUCUAAACACAGGC